AGCGUACACGGUGGAUGCCCUGGCAGUCAGAGGCGAUGAAGGACGUGCUAAUCUGCGAUAAGCGUCGGUAAGGUGAUAUGAACCGUUAUAACCGGCGAUUUCCGAAUGGGGAAACCCAGUGUGUUUCGACACACUAUCAUUAACUGAAUCCAUAGGUUAAUGAGGCGAACCGGGGGAACUGAAACAUCUAAGUACCCCGAGGAAAAGAAAUCAACCGAGAUUCCCCCAGUAGCGGCGAGCGAACGGGGAGGAGCCCAGAGCCUGAAUCAGUGUGUGUGUUAGUGGAAGCGUCUGGAAAGGCGCGCGAUACAGGGUGACAGCCCCGUACACAAAAAUGCACAUACUGUGAGCUCGAUGAGUAGGGCGGGACACGUGGUAUCCUGUCUGAAUAUGGGGGGACCAUCCUCCAAGGCUAAAUACUCCUGACUGACCGAUAGUGAACCAGUACCGUGAGGGAAAGGCGAAAAGAACCCCGGCGAGGGGAGUGAAAAAGAACCUGAAACCGUGUACGUACAAGCAGUGGGAGCCUCUUUUAUGGGGUGACUGCGUACCUUUUGUAUAAUGGGUCAGCGACUUAUAUUCUGUAGCAAGGUUAACCGAAUAGGGGAGCCGAAGGGAAACCGAGUCUUAACUGGGCGUUAAGUUGCAGGGUAUAGACCCGAAACCCGGUGAUCUAGCCAUGGGCAGGUUGAAGGUUGGGUAACACUAACUGGAGGACCGAACCGACUAAUGUUGAAAAAUUAGCGGAUGACUUGUGGCUGGGGGUGAAAGGCCAAUCAAACCGGGAGAUAGCUGGUUCUCCCCGAAAGCUAUUUAGGUAGCGCCUCGUGAACUCAUCUCCGGGGGUAGAGCACUGUUUCGGCAAGGGGGUCAUCCCGACUUACCAACCCGAUGCAAACUGCGAAUACCGGAGAAUGUUAUCACGGGAGACACACGGCGGGUGCUAACGUCCGUCGUGAAGAGGGAAACAACCCAGACCGCCAGCUAAGGUCCCAAAGUCAUGGUUAAGUGGGAAACGAUGUGGGAAGGCCCAGACAGCCAGGAUGUUGGCUUAGAAGCAGCCAUCAUUUAAAGAAAGCGUAAUAGCUCACUGGUCGAGUCGGCCUGCGCGGAAGAUGUAACGGGGCUAAACCAUGCACCGAAGCUGCGGCAGCGACACUAUGUGUUGUUGGGUAGGGGAGCGUUCUGUAAGCCUGUGAAGGUGUACUGUGAGGUAUGCUGGAGGUAUCAGAAGUGCGAAUGCUGACAUAAGUAACGAUAAAGCGGGUGAAAAGCCCGCUCGCCGGAAGACCAAGGGUUCCUGUCCAACGUUAAUCGGGGCAGGGUGAGUCGACCCCUAAGGCGAGGCCGAAAGGCGUAGUCGAUGGGAAACAGGUUAAUAUUCCUGUACUUGGUGUUACUGCGAAGGGGGGACGGAGAAGGCUAUGUUGGCCGGGCGACGGUUGUCCCGGUUUAAGCGUGUAGGCUGGUUUUCCAGGCAAAUCCGGAAAAUCAAGGCUGAGGCGUGAUGACGAGGCACUACGGUGCUGAAGCAACAAAUGCCCUGCUUCCAGGAAAAGCCUCUAAGCAUCAGGUAACAUCAAAUCGUACCCCAAACCGACACAGGUGGUCAGGUAGAGAAUACCAAGGCGCUUGAGAGAACUCGGGUGAAGGAACUAGGCAAAAUGGUGCCGUAACUUCGGGAGAAGGCACGCUGAUAUGUAGGUGAAGCGACUUGCUCGUGGAGCUGAAAUCAGUCGAAGAUACCAGCUGGCUGCAACUGUUUAUUAAAAACACAGCACUGUGCAAACACGAAAGUGGACGUAUACGGUGUGACGCCUGCCCGGUGCCGGAAGGUUAAUUGAUGGGGUCAGCGCAAGCGAAGCUCUUGAUCGAAGCCCCGGUAAACGGCGGCCGUAACUAUAACGGUCCUAAGGUAGCGAAAUUCCUUGUCGGGUAAGUUCCGACCUGCACGAAUGGCGUAAUGAUGGCCAGGCUGUCUCCACCCGAGACUCAGUGAAAUUGAACUCGCUGUGAAGAUGCAGUGUACCCGCGGCAAGACGGAAAGACCCCGUGAACCUUUACUAUAGCUUGACACUGAACAUUGAGCCUUGAUGUGUAGGAUAGGUGGGAGGCUUAGAAGUGUGGACGCCAGUCUGCAUGGAGCCGACCUUGAAAUACCACCCUUUAAUGUUUGAUGUUCUAACGUUGACCCGUGAUCCGGGUUGCGGACAGUGUCUGGUGGGUAGUUUGACUGGGGCGGUCUCCUCCUAAAGAGUAACGGAGGAGCACGAAGGUUGGCUAAUCCUGGUCGGACAUCAGGAGGUUAGUGCAAUGGCAUAAGCCAGCUUGACUGCGAGCGUGACGGCGCGAGCAGGUGCGAAAGCAGGUCAUAGUGAUCCGGUGGUUCUGAAUGGAAGGGCCAUCGCUCAACGGAUAAAAGGUACUCCGGGGAUAACAGGCUGAUACCGCCCAAGAGUUCAUAUCGACGGCGGUGUUUGGCACCUCGAUGUCGGCUCAUCACAUCCUGGGGCUGAAGUAGGUCCCAAGGGUAUGGCUGUUCGCCAUUUAAAGUGGUACGCGAGCUGGGUUUAGAACGUCGUGAGACAGUUCGGUCCCUAUCUGCCGUGGGCGCUGGAGAACUGAGGGGGGCUGCUCCUAGUACGAGAGGACCGGAGUGGACGCAUCACUGGUGUUCGGGUUGUCAUGCCAAUGGCACUGCCCGGUAGCUAAAUGCGGAAGAGAUAAGUGCUGAAAGCAUCUAAGCACGAAACUUGCCCCGAGAUGAGUUCU
This 2772-nucleotide ribosomal RNA is filed under the name Escherichia coli. RNAcentral describes it as "bacterial LSU rRNA". It matches the Rfam family "Bacterial large subunit ribosomal RNA". The record is from RNAcentral. Lineage: Bacteria; Pseudomonadati; Pseudomonadota; Gammaproteobacteria; Enterobacterales; Enterobacteriaceae.